RNAcentral lists this ribosomal RNA (275 nucleotides) under uncultured Lysobacter sp. RNAcentral's name for it is "partial 16S ribosomal RNA". It matches the Rfam family "Bacterial small subunit ribosomal RNA", at positions 338 to 605 of the family's 1533-position model. Lineage: Bacteria; Pseudomonadati; Pseudomonadota; Gammaproteobacteria; Lysobacterales; Lysobacteraceae. The record is from RNAcentral.
CCUACGGGAGGCAGCAGUGGGGAAUAUUGGACAAUGGGCGCAAGCCUGAUCCAGCCAUGCCGCGUGGGUGAAGAAGGCCUUCGGGUUGUAAAGCCCUUUUGUCCGGAAAGAAAAGCCUCGGAUUAAUACCCUGGGGUGAUGACGGUACCGGAAGAAUAAGCACCGGCUAACUUCGUGCCAGCAGCCGCGGUAAUACGAAGGGUGCAAGCGUUACUCGGAAUUACUGGGCGUAAAGCGUGCGUAGGUGGUUUGUUAAGUCUGAUGUGAAAGCCCUG